This 525-nucleotide long non-coding RNA is filed under the name Cyanistes caeruleus (blue tit). RNAcentral describes it as "lncRNA (ENSCCEG00000016034.1)". The record is from RNAcentral. Lineage: Eukaryota; Metazoa; Chordata; Aves; Passeriformes; Paridae.
GAGCACCUUUGCUUAGGCUCAUGUCUAAAAAUAUAAAUUCUCCUUAGACUGUGGAAGAGCCAGGUACCUUUACCAAACAAGGGAUGUGCCUCUGAAGUUACACACAUCUGAACAAGGUGAUCCAAUAAAUGUGUUAUGGAGCAGAAUUAGGAAAAUGACUGCAGUAGGAACCCAGAUGGAUAAAUGACAAGCAAGGACUUUGAGUGCAAAGACAUGAGGAGUGCUGACUCCCGGGAUGGAGAGGAAGGACCAUUCCUGUGCCUGCUGGAUUUGUCCUGCCCUGCACACCUGAACUGAGAUGUUAAACCAUUCUCAUCGCUGCUGCUUGGCACAUCCCGCUGCUGAAUCCACAUGGAUUGUUUCAUUUCUCCUUGCUGUCCAUCAGCAAAAGUUUAUCCCGCAUCAAGCCAGGAGAAUAGAUGUGCUGAAAUAGCAGCUUAAAAGCCUCUUUUGAAUACAGGUCAGGCAGACUGUGAGAGGAAAACCCCUUUUCACAGCAGCUCUGACCUGUGAGGACACUUUCUU